Molecule: long non-coding RNA, 1909 nt
Filed under: Vigna radiata
Lineage: Eukaryota; Viridiplantae; Streptophyta; Magnoliopsida; Fabales; Fabaceae
Description: long non-coding RNA (VRAD_LNC012040)
Source: RNAcentral
AAUGAUUCCUCACUCUUAUUAUAACUCUCUCAAUCUUGGCUACUAUAGAUGUCAAUUCCCCAUGAGAGGUGGGACAUUGUGAUAGAAGAUGACCUCUACUAAGACAUUUGAAACACUUGAUAUCACUAGUAUAAGUGUGUGACGAUGACCCUUCCCUUCGAUUCUCUUUCUCUUUCCUAGAUUCCUUUAGGGGGUUCAUGUGUUCUUUAACUUGUUCCUUCUUAUAGUCUUUCUUCUCAUAAGAGUUAGAGUGUUUGAUUUAAAUUNUUUUAUCAAAAGUUGUUGUUAUACUUUUGUAGAAAUUUGUACCUACUCAUUUAGAUCUUGGUAAGACAAUAAUUUUGCUCUAUCUCUUAUUUCAAGACUUAAACCAAUAAGGAACCUAUAAAUGGUGGUGUACUCAUGCUCCCUAAUCUCAACCUUCAUCAUAUAUAACUCCAUCUUUUGUCUAUAUUCUUCUACUUUCAUGUCUUUUUGAUGGAGUCUUUGGAGCUUAUCCAUAAGCUCUCUAUGAUAGUAGGAGGAAAUGUGUCUCCUCCUAAGGGCCUUAUUAAGGUCAUUCCAAUAUUUGACUUGAGGGGCAUUGUUGAUUCACCUCUCCCUUUCUAGGGAUGUCCACUAAUUAAUACAUUACAUUGCCUUUAAAAUUUAGGGUAGUUAGGGGUACCUUCCUCUCCUCACUUAUUUGGUUGCAAGCAAAAAGUUAUUCUACCUUUAUUUCCCAAUCUAGGUAUAUUUCAACAUCUUUCUUUCCAUGAAAGUGGGGGAGGUCCACUCUAGUGUAUCUUGAUUCCCUAUGGACAUGUUCCUUUCUAUUUCUUCUUGGUGGUAGAGGAGGAGAUUGAUAAAAUUAUCCACUAAUCUACUAUCCUCCUCGUAAUGUGUGACAAAUGUGAGAGUCUUGGAGCUCCUAGAAUGGCUCAUACUCUUUCUUUUUUCUUGUAGUUUCUCUUCUUUUUGUUCGAUGAUUCUAAGCUCCCCCGCAAGGAUGGCAAGAUGGGUCUCUCUUUCAAUUUUCCCUUUUUCUUUUAAAAUGACCUCUUACGUCCUCCAAAGUUUUNGUGACUUAAGCUCUUGAGCAAUUUGUUUCCAACUUUUUUCUUCCUCAUUAUAGUCAUUAUACCAAUUUGGGAUGAAGGAUCCUCAGACAUCCUUAUGUUUCUCUUUUAUUUUCUAAGAUUUAAACAUUUUGGUCUUUUAAAGAAAUUCUGAAGAAGUAGAUAACAAGCUUCUUAAGUUCUCUUUUAGGAAACAUAGAUAAAUCACUUGGAUGAUUUAAGUACCAAGUUUUUCCUAACCAAUGAAACUCAAUGUUCUUGGAGAAGACUUCUUAAAUGGAAUUAAAUGAAAGACUAAGAUUACACACACCAAACUACAAAGAAAAAUAAAGGAAGAAAAGCAAGGAAUUAAAGAGUCUAUGUUAGGCGACCCUAACGGGAGGCUUAUUGUAAUAUCCCAAUUUUGGGAGUCACUUAAAAUGCCUUAAACUAAAGAAACUUUUCGAAACAUUAUCAAAAUCAUCAAAAACAUAAAAUUAAUAGAUUUAAUAAAACCAAAAGUUAAUUAAUAUUUACAAAACUAAAUAUUUAAAUUCAAUUAUAAACAAAUACAUAAACCUUUAAAGAUUCUUUUCAUGAUAGAGUACAAUUCUUAUGAAACCCGCAAUAUGAUUCCCCCUCUUUCUAUCAUCUACUCAACACCUGAAAUAUCUGCAUAUACUCAUGUAUAACACAAACAUUAUACGAUCAUCGUCACAUACAAAAAAAAAAUAUGAGUGAGCUACUACUGAAUACAUAAAUAUAAUAUGAUAAUCAAUUAAAUAAACCACAUACAACCACAAACAAGCAAUCCACCAUUCAUUCAACCAACCAAUCACUAACACUAAACCAAGCAACCGUAUCCAACAACA